Molecule: long non-coding RNA, 266 nt
Organism: Sapajus apella (tufted capuchin)
Lineage: Eukaryota; Metazoa; Chordata; Mammalia; Primates; Cebidae
Exons: 2
Source: RefSeq, a predicted model, not a curated record
CAUCUACAGUCUUAAAACAAAAUCCCAGCAGGUUUUGUGAGUAUAGAAACUGACUAGUUGGCUUUUAAAAGUCAACAUGAAAGUGCAAAGAGCCAAGGAUAGUGUUGUACCUGACCGAGUCAAGGAAUGCGCCACACUCUGAGAUUGAAUUAUGAGUCCUUUAUUAUUCCGGUGACUGAGUGGUGGCUAACGCCCCAAAUUCUCUCAGCCCCUCAGAAAAAGUUAGGUGGUCUUUUAUACCCUAAUUUUAAAAGGGAGAUGGAACC